AGAUGUUCAUCAGAGUGAGGACAAGGAGCAGAGCAUUGAAGAAGAAGUAGAAGGGGAUAUUAGGAACCGACUGGAGGCUGGAGUAGCAGAGAAGCCUGCAGAGAGGGAGGAAGGAGACAAAGGGAUGCACCAGGAGUGACAACCUGUGAGUGAUUUAUCUCUGCUCUUCAUCUUUCUCUUCUGCCUUUCCCCAGGAGGAGCAGCAGGGCUGGGAUCUGAGGCCCACAUCCCAUUUGCUUCUUCAAAAAAA
Molecule: non-coding RNA, 250 nt
Organism: Meleagris gallopavo (turkey)
Lineage: Eukaryota; Metazoa; Chordata; Aves; Galliformes; Phasianidae
Source: RefSeq, a predicted model, not a curated record